This 614-nucleotide ribosomal RNA is filed under the name Basidiodendron microsporum. Its description in RNAcentral is "partial large subunit ribosomal RNA". It matches the Rfam family "Eukaryotic large subunit ribosomal RNA", at positions 25 to 664 of the family's 3401-position model. The record is from RNAcentral. Lineage: Eukaryota; Fungi; Basidiomycota; Agaricomycetes; Auriculariales; Exidiaceae.
UCGCUGAACUUAAGCAUAUCAAUAAGCGGAGGAAAAGAAACUAACAAGGAUUCCCCUAGUAACGGCGAGUGAAGCGGGAAGAGCUCAAAUUUAAAAUCUGGCGUCUCUGGCGUCCGAGUUGUAAUCUGUAGAGGCGUUAUCCGCGACGGACCUCGUACAAGUCCUUUGGGAUGAGGCGUCAUAGAGGGUGAGAAUCCCGUCCGUGACGAGGACUACCGUUGCUUUGCGUUGCGCCCUCGAAGAGUCGAGUUGUUUGGGAAUGCAGCUCAAAAUGGGAGGUAAAUUCCUUCUAAAGCUAAAUACAGGCGAGAGACCGAUAGCGAACAAGUACCGUGAGGGAAAGAUGAAAAGAACUUUGGAAAGAGAGUUAAACAGUACGUGAAAUUGCUGAAAGGGAAACGCUUGAAGUCAGUCGUCUCGGCCAGGACUCAGCCUCACGGUGUACUUCCUGUGUCGAGGGGCCAGCAUCAGUUUUGGGCGUCGAAGAAGGGCGCGAGGAAGGUGGCACCCUCGGGUGUGUUAUAGCCUCACGUCGGACGCGGCGCCCGGGACUGAGGACCGCAUUUAUUAGGAUGCUGGCGUAAUGGCUUUAAGCGACCCGUCUUGAAACACGG